GAUGAACGCUGGCGGCGUGCCUAAUACAUGCAAGUCGAGCGAACAGACGAGGAGCUUGCUCCUCUGACGUUAGCGGCGGACGGGUGAGUAACACGUGGAUAACCUACCUAUAAGACUGGGAUAACUUCGGGAAACCGGAGCUAAUACCGGAUAAUAUAUUGAACCGCAUGGUUCAAUAGUGAAAGACGGUUUUGCUGUCACUUAUAGAUGGAUCCGCGCCGCAUUAGCUAGUUGGUAAGGUAACGGCUUACCAAGGCAACGAUGCGUAGCCGACCUGAGAGGGUGAUCGGCCACACUGGAACUGGAACGCGGACCAGACUCCUACGGGAGGGAGCAGUAGGGAAUCUUCCGCAAUAGGCGAAAGCCUGACGGAACAACGCCGCGUGAGUGGUGAAGGUCUUCGGAUCGUAAAACUCUGUUAUUAGGGAAGAACAAAUGUGUAAGUAACUAUGCACGUCUUGACGGUACCUAAUCAGAAAGCCACGGCUAACUACGUG
RNAcentral lists this ribosomal RNA (497 nucleotides) under uncultured bacterium. RNAcentral's name for it is "partial 16S ribosomal RNA". It matches the Rfam family "Bacterial small subunit ribosomal RNA", at positions 28 to 507 of the family's 1533-position model. The record is from RNAcentral.